GCGCACCAGGCGAGAAUUUUUCUCAAUGGGGGCAACCCUGAAGGAGCGACGCCGCGUGGAGGAUGAAGGCUUUCGGGUCGUAAACUCCUGUCAUUUGAGAACAAGUGCCAACACCUAACUACUGUUGGCUUGAUAGUAUCAGAAGAGGAAGGGACGGCUAACUCUGUGCCAGCAGCCGCGGUAAUACAGAGGUCCCAAGCGUUGUUCGGAUUCAUUGGGCGUAAGGGUGCGUAGGUGGCGCCGUAAGUAGGGUGGUGAAAUUACCGGUAGGCUUAACUCCGAAACCUAGCAUUCCAUACUGCGGUGCUUGAGGACUGGAGAGGAGACU
This 328-nucleotide ribosomal RNA is filed under the name uncultured organism. RNAcentral's name for it is "bacterial SSU rRNA". It matches the Rfam family "Bacterial small subunit ribosomal RNA", at positions 346 to 662 of the family's 1533-position model. The record is from RNAcentral.